RNAcentral lists this unclassified non-coding RNA (334 nucleotides) under soil metagenome. RNAcentral describes it as "partial contains 5.8S ribosomal RNA, internal transcribed spacer 2, and large subunit ribosomal RNA". The stretch from base 1 to 120 matches the Rfam family "5.8S ribosomal RNA", at positions 35 to 154 of the family's 154-position model. The record is from RNAcentral.
GAUGAAGAACGUAGCGAAAUGCGAUACGUAAUGUGAAUUGCAGAAUUCAGUGAAUCAUCGAAUCUUUGAACGCACAUUGCGCCUGCCAGCACUCUGGCAGGCAUGCCUGUUCGAGCGUCAUUUCAACCAUCAAGCCCUAGGCUUGCGUUGGAGCCCUGCGGCUGCCGCAGGCCCCUAAAAGCAGUGGCGGGCUCGCUAUCACACCGAGUGCAGUAGAUUACUCUUCGCUCAGGGCGUGUGGCGGGUUCCACCCGUGAAACCCCCUACUUCUCAAGGUUGACCUCGGAUCAGGUAGGAAUACCCGCUGAACUUAAGCAUAUCAAUAAGCGGAGGA